UACGUAGGGUGCAAGCGUUGUCCGGAAUUAUUGGGCGUAAAGAGCUCGUAGGCGGUUUGUUGCGUCGGCUGUGAAAUCCCGAGGCUCAACCUCGGGUCUGCAGUCGAUACGAGCAAACUAGAGUGUUGCAGGGGAGACUGGAAUUCCUGGUGUAGCGGUGAAAUGCGCAGAUAUCAGGAGGAACACCAGUGCGAAGGCAGGCUCUGGGCCGAUACUGACGCUGAGGAGCGAAAGCGUGGGGAGCGAACAGG
This 251-nucleotide ribosomal RNA is filed under the name uncultured bacterium. Its description in RNAcentral is "partial 16S ribosomal RNA". It matches the Rfam family "Bacterial small subunit ribosomal RNA", at positions 524 to 776 of the family's 1533-position model. The record is from RNAcentral.